Non-coding RNA from Acanthosepion pharaonis, 111 nucleotides. Lineage: Eukaryota; Metazoa; Mollusca; Cephalopoda; Sepiida; Sepiidae. The record is from the annotation of a GenBank genome assembly.
UACGGCCAGAUUAUGUUGAAACUUCGGUUUCCGCACGAUCACCGAAGUUAAGAAACGUUGAGCCAGGUCAGUACUUAGAAGAGUGACCACUUGGGAAUACCAGGUACUGUA